This 1448-nucleotide ribosomal RNA is filed under the name uncultured bacterium. RNAcentral's name for it is "16S ribosomal RNA". It matches the Rfam family "Bacterial small subunit ribosomal RNA". The record is from RNAcentral.
GAUGAACGCUAGCGGCAGGCUUAACACAUGCGAGUCGAGGGGCAGCGGGUUUGUAGCAAUACAGAUGCCGGCGACCGGUACAAGGGUGCGUAACGCGUGAGCGACAUGCCCGUCUCAGGGGGAUAAUCCGGAGAAAUCCGGUCUAAUACCCCAUGGUCCCGUUGGGAUGCAUGUCCUGAUGGGUAAAGAUACGUCGGAGACGGAUUGGCUCGCGUGACAUUAGCUGGACGGCGGGGUAACGGCCCACCGUGGCUACGAUGUCUAGGGGAACUGAGAGGUUGGUCCCCCACACUGGAACUGAGACACGGUCCAGACUCCUACGGGAGGCAGCAGUGAGGAAUAUUGGACAAUGGGCGGAAGCCUGAUCCAGCCAUGCCGCGUGAAGGAUUACGGUCCUAUGGAUUUUAAACUUCUUUUGCACGGGAGCAAUAAGGGUCACGCGUGGCCCGAUGAGAGUACCGUGCGAAUAAGCAUCGGCUAACUCCGUGCCAGCAGCCGCGGUAAUACGGAGGAUGCGAGCGUUAUCCGGAUUCAUUGGGUUUAAAGGGUGCGUAGGCGGUGGCGUAAGUCAGCGGUGAAAUUCACGGGCUCAACCCGUGCCGUGCCGUUGAUACUGCGUUGCUGGAGUACUGUCGCCGUGGGAGGAAUGUGUGGUGUAGCGGUGAAAUGCAUAGAUAUCACACAGAACACCGAUUGCGAAGGCAUCUCACGAGGCAGGGACUGACGCUGAUGCACGAAAGUGCGGGGAUCAAACAGGAUUAGAUACCCUGGUAGUCCGCACAGUAAACGAUGAUGACUAGCUGUCGGCGAUAGACAGUCGGUGGCUAAGCGAAAGCGAUAAGUCAUCCACCUGGGGAGUACGACCGCAAGGUUGAAACUCAAAGGAAUUGACGGGGGCCCGCACAAGCGGAGGAACAUGUGGUUUAAUUCGAUGAUACGCGAGGAACCUUACCCGGGCUCGAACGGUGCAGGAAGCCUUCAGAGAUGGAGGCGCUCUUCGGAGCCUGUAUCGAGGUGCUGCAUGGUUGUCGUCAGCUCGUGCCGUGAGGUGUCGGCUUAAGUGCCAUAACGAGCGCAACCCUUGCUGACAGUUGCCAUCAGGUAAAGCUGGGGACUCUGUCGGGACUGCCACCGUAAGGUGUGAGGAAGGGGGGGAUGACGUCAAAUCAGCACGGCCCUUAUGUCCGGGGCGACACACGUGUUACAAUGGUGGGUACAGCGGGAAGCUACGCGGCGACGCGGUGCAAAUCUCGAAAACCCAUCCCAGUUCGGAUCGGAGUCUGCAACCCGACUCCGUGAAGUUGGAUUCGCUAGUAAUCGCGCAUCAGCCAUGGCGCGGUGAAUACGUUCCCGGGCCUUGUACACACCGCCCGUCAAGCCAUGGAAGCCGGGGGUGCCUGAAGUCCGUUACCGCAAGGAUCGGCCUAGGGCAAAACUGGUAACUGGGG